UGGGGAAUUUUCCGCGAUGGGCGAAAGCCUGACGGAGCAACGCCGCGUGCGGGAGGACGGCCUGUGGGUUGUAAACCGCUUUUCUCAGGGUAGAUAAUGACGGUACCUGAGGAAUCAGCAUCGGCUAACUCCGUGCCAGCAGCCGCGGUAAUACGGGGGAUGCAAGCGUUAUCCGGAAUUAUUGGGCGUAAAGCGUCCGUAGGCGGCCAGGCAAGUCUGCUGUUAAAUAUCGGGGCUUAACCCCGAGCGUGCAGUGGAAACUGUUUGGCUAGAGUACGGUAGGGGUUGAGGGAAUUCCCAGUGUAGCGGUGAAAUGCGUAGAUAUUGGGAAGAACACCAGUGGCGAAGGCGCUCAACUGGGCCGUAACUGACGCUGAUGGACGAAAGCUAGGGGAGCGAAAGGGAUUAGAUACCCCCGUAGUCC
This 424-nucleotide ribosomal RNA is filed under the name uncultured prokaryote. Its description in RNAcentral is "bacterial SSU rRNA". It matches the Rfam family "Bacterial small subunit ribosomal RNA", at positions 355 to 796 of the family's 1533-position model. The record is from RNAcentral.